RNAcentral lists this ribosomal RNA (1449 nucleotides) under uncultured bacterium. Its description in RNAcentral is "bacterial SSU rRNA". It matches the Rfam family "Bacterial small subunit ribosomal RNA". The record is from RNAcentral.
GAUGAACGCUAGCUACAGGCUUAACACAUGCAAGUCGAGGGGCAGCAUGAACUUAGCUUGCUAAGUUUGAUGGCGACCGGCGCACGGGUGAGUAACACGUAUCCAACCUGCCGAUGACUCGGGGAUAGCCUUUCGAAAGAAAGAUUAAUACCCGAUGGCAUAGUUCUUCCGCAUGGUAGAACUAUUAAAGAACUUCGGUCAUCGAUGGGGAUGCGUUCCAUUAGGUUGUUGGCGGGGUAACGGCCCACCAAGCCUUCGAUGGAUAGGGGUUCUGAGAGGAAGGCCCCCCACAUUGGAACUGAGACACGGUCCAAACUCCUACGGGAGGCAGCAGUGAGGAAUAUUGGUCAAUGGACGAGAGUCUGAACCAGCCAAGUAGCGUGAAGGAUGACUGCCCUAUGGGUUGUAAACUUCUUUUAUACGGGAAUAAAGUGAGGCACGUGUGCCUUUUUGUAUGUACCGUAUGAAUAAGGAUCGGCUAACUCCGUGCCAGCAGCCGCGGUAAUACGGAGGAUCCGAGCGUUAUCCGGAUUUAUUGGGUUUAAAGGGAGCGUAGGCGGACGCUUAAGUCAGUUGUGAAAGUUUGCGGCUCAACCGUAAAAUUGCAGUUGAUACUGGGUGUCUUGAGUACAGUAGAGGCAGGCGGAAUUCGUGGUGUAGCGGUGAAAUGCUUAGAUAUCACGAAGAACUCCGAUUGCGAAGGCAGCCUGCUGGACUGUAACUGACGCUGAUGCUCGAAAGUGUGGGUAUCAAACAGGAUUAGAUACCCUGGUAGUCCACACAGUAAACGAUGAAUACUCGCUGUUUGCGAUAUACAGUAAGCGGCCAAGCGAAAGCGUUAAGUAUUCCACCUGAGGAGUACGCCGGCAACGGUGAAACUCAAAGGAAUUGACGGGGGCCCGCACAAGCGGAGGAACAUGUGGUUUAAUUCGAUGAUACGCGAGGAACCUUACCCGGGCUUGAAUUGCAACUGAAUGAUGUGGAGACAUGUCAGCCGCAAGGCAGUUGUGAAGGUGCUGCAUGGUUGUCGUCAGCUCGUGCCGUGAGGUGUCGGCUUAAGUGCCAUAACGAGCGCAACCCUUAUCGAUAGUUACCAUCAGGUUAUGCUGGGGACUCUGUCGAGACUGCCGUCGUAAGAUGUGAGGAAGGUGGGGAUGACGUCAAAUCAGCACGGCCCUUACGUCCGGGGCGACACACGUGUUACAAUGGCGGCCACAGCGGGAAGCCAGGCGGCGACGCCGAGCGGAACCCGAAAAGCCGUCUCAGUUCGGAUUGGAGUCUGCAACCCGACUCCAUGAAGCUGGAUUCGCUAGUAAUCGCGCAUCAGCCACGGCGCGGUGAAUACGUUCCCGGGCCUUGUACACACCGCCCGUCAAGCCAUGGGAGCCGGGAGUGCCUGAAGUACGUGACCGCAAGGAGCGUCCUAGGGUAAGACCGGUGACUGGGGCU